Portunus trituberculatus (swimming crab) is the source of this 636-nucleotide long non-coding RNA. RefSeq lists it as uncharacterized. The transcript has 2 exons. Lineage: Eukaryota; Metazoa; Arthropoda; Malacostraca; Decapoda; Portunidae. The record is from RefSeq and is a predicted model, not a curated record.
AGCAGGAGACCCCACAUGUAGUCUGCUUCUACUUCUGCAGAGACCAUCCCUGACUGACACAAGACCCACAUGAUCAUGGGCACAAGGUCAUCAGCAUCACCUGAACCAGAAGUGUUUCCAUUCUCAUACAUCUGAAAGAGAUGAACGGCGCCGGAUCGCUGUAAGUCAGGUAGGAACCAGAUGGGGUAGCUUUUGAUGAGUCGCUCCUCCAACUGGAUGAGGCACGGCUCACACUCCGACCCAUCCCCGCUGCCAGUCUGCAGACAAGAUCCCACCAGCUUCAGUCAGGCACCAGUUAUAUCAUCAGCCCUCUAUGAGACUAAUUAUGAACUUAUGAACAGUGACCCUACCUCUGAUACAAGCAGCAUCUAGAUUCAUGUGAGGCACAAAGCACACGAAAACAUCAAUGGUUCCUGAGCAUGAAUGUAAUAUAUUUUUCACUACCAUUGUCACACUGGCAUUCAUGAGUAUAUUCAGCAAAAUAAGAAUUAAUAUAAGAGAUCCCUUAAGUAAUCAUGUAUUAAUCACACUAAAGACAAAAGACUCUGGAGGACGAGAUGAACUUCAAUCGAAUGUAUAUAUGUAUGUACGUACGUUAACUUGAAUGCAAUACAAAAAUAAAUCUGAGUAAUGAAA